CCGGCUUCGGCAAGGACGCCCUCCUCUGCCCCGCCGUGGAGGCAAGCCCCCUCCUCCGUCUGCCGGCGCCGCCGGCACCUGCAUCGAGGACCUUCUUCACGUGCGGCACCACCAACCAAUUCAACUACCAAGGUUGCCGCGGGUACGUGUCGGACGCGAGGGGCGCCCGGUCCCGGCCUGCGGGUACGAGAUGGCGACCCAGUCCCAGUAUGUGGCGGCGCCGGCACCGGCACAACCGGAGCAGGGCGCCGCCACGGCGACGACGGGAUACGUCCAGGGGGGCAUGACGUACACGGUGACGGACGACCUGGCCGUCACGCCCAUGUCGGCCAUCUCCAGCAUCUCCAGCAUCAAGGGUAGCAUGGAGGACAGAGAUCUGGAUGGGGCGGCUAGGGUUUCAGUGGAGAAGAUGUGAUCGGCAGUGGGAUGUAACAAAAAACAAAGGCGGC
Molecule: long non-coding RNA, 449 nt
Filed under: Hordeum vulgare
Lineage: Eukaryota; Viridiplantae; Streptophyta; Magnoliopsida; Poales; Poaceae
Description: long non-coding RNA (HVUL_LNC003944)
Source: RNAcentral